GUUUUUGUAGUUGAAUAACAACGAUGGUUUUUCAUAUCAUAGGUCUUGGUUUGAAUCCAGGCGAGAAU
Molecule: transfer RNA, 68 nt
Filed under: Tachyglossus aculeatus (Australian echidna)
Lineage: Eukaryota; Metazoa; Chordata; Mammalia; Monotremata; Tachyglossidae
Description: transfer RNA-Glu
Rfam family: tRNA
About the family: Transfer RNA (tRNA) molecules are approximately 80 nucleotides in length. Their secondary structure includes four short double-helical elements and three loops (D, anti-codon, and T loops). Further hydrogen bonds mediate the characteristic L-shaped molecular structure. tRNAs have two regions of fundamental functional importance: the anti-codon, which is responsible for specific mRNA codon recognition, and the 3' end, to which the tRNAs corresponding amino acid is attached (by aminoacyl-tRNA synthetases). tRNAs cope with the degeneracy of the genetic code in two manners: having more than one tRNA (with a specific anti-codon) for a particular amino acid; and 'wobble' base-pairing, i.e. permitting non-standard base-pairing at the 3rd anti-codon position.
Source: RNAcentral